CAAUAGCGUAUAUUUAAGUUGUUGCAGUUAAAAAGCUCGUAGUCGGAUUUUGGCUGAGAACGAUCGGUCCGCCGUUAGGUGUGCACUGAUUGGUCUCAGCUUCCUGGUGAGGAGGUGUGCUUCACGGCCACUUAGUCACCGUGGUUACUUUGAAAAAAUUAGAGUGUUCAAAGCGGGCUUACGCUUGAAUAUAUUAGCAUGGAAUAACACCAUAGGACUCCUGUCCUAUUUCGUUGGUCUCGGGACGGGAGUAAUGAUUAAGCGGAACAGUUGGGGGCAUUCGUAUUUCAUUGUCAGAGGUGAAAUUCUUGGAUUUAUGAAAGACGAACUUCUGCGAAAGCAUUUGCCAAGGAUGUUUUCAUUGA
This 365-nucleotide ribosomal RNA is filed under the name uncultured eukaryote. RNAcentral's name for it is "partial 18S ribosomal RNA". It matches the Rfam family "Eukaryotic small subunit ribosomal RNA", at positions 592 to 976 of the family's 1831-position model. The record is from RNAcentral.